Molecule: non-coding RNA, 28 nt
Filed under: Bombyx mori (domestic silkworm)
Lineage: Eukaryota; Metazoa; Arthropoda; Insecta; Lepidoptera; Bombycidae
Source: RNAcentral
UGCAAAACCGAUACGAUUCGUCGACUCA